CUGUGAAGGUCGUCUCUCUCGGGACAUAGUCUCUGUUCCUCUAUCAAGGAUGUCUCUCUCGGGACAUCCUCUCUGUUCCUCUGUCAAGUCUGUCUCUCUCAGGACAUCCUCUCUGUUCCUCUGUCAAGGCUGUCUCUCUCAGGACAUCCUCUCUGUUCCUCUGUCAAGGACAUCCUCUCUGUUCCUCUGUCAAGGCCAUCUCUCAGGACAUCCUCUCUGUUCCUCUGUCAAGGAUGUCUCUCUCGGGACAUCCUCUCUGUUCCUCUGUCAAGGAUGUCUCUCUCGGGACAUCCUCUCUGUUCCUCUGUCAAGGCUGUCUCUCUCAGGACAUCCUCUCUGUUCCUCUGUCAAGGCCGUCUCUCAAGACAUCCUCUCUGUUCCUCUGUCAAGGACAUCCUCUCUGUUCCUCUGUCAAGGACAUCCUCUCUGUUCCUCUGUCAAGGCCGUCUC
Oncorhynchus tshawytscha (Chinook salmon) is the source of this 450-nucleotide long non-coding RNA. The record is from Ensembl. Lineage: Eukaryota; Metazoa; Chordata; Actinopteri; Salmoniformes; Salmonidae.